RNAcentral lists this non-coding RNA (249 nucleotides) under Pseudobutyrivibrio xylanivorans DSM 14809. RNAcentral's name for it is "Bacterial large subunit ribosomal RNA". It matches the Rfam family "Bacterial large subunit ribosomal RNA", at positions 2676 to 2925 of the family's 2925-position model. Lineage: Bacteria; Bacillati; Bacillota; Clostridia; Lachnospirales; Lachnospiraceae. The record is from Rfam by way of RNAcentral.
CCCUAGUACGAGAGGACCGGGGUGGACGGACCACUGGUGUAUCAGCUGUCGACCAACGGCAUAGCUGAGUAGCCAAGUCUGGACGGGAUAAACGCUGAAGGCAUCUAAGCGUGAAGCCCCCCUCAAGAUGAGAUAUCCCCUCCUUCAAGGAGAUAAGAUCCCUUAAAGACGAUAAGGUAGAUAGGUUCAAGGUGUAAGUGCGGUAACGCAUUCAGCUGAUGAAUACUAAUAGAUCGAAGGUUUAUUCUA